AUUGAACGCUGGCGGCAUGCUUUACACAUGCAAGUCGAACGGUAACAGGCCUUCGGGUGCUGACGAGUGGCGAACGGGUGAGUAAUGCAUCGGAACGUACCCAGAGGUGGGGGAUAACGCAGCGAAAGCUGUGCUAAUACUGCAUGUGAUCUGAGGAUGAAAGCGGGGGACCGAGCAGCAAUGUUUGGCCUCGCGCCUUUGGAGCGGCCGAUGUCGGAUUAGCUAGUUGGUGGGGUAAAGGCCUACCAAGGCGACGAUCCGUAACUGGUCUGAGAGGACGACCAGCCACACUGGGACUGAGACACGGCCCAGACUCCUACGGGAGGCAGCAGUGGGGAAUUUUGGACAAUGGGCGCUAGCCUGAUCCAGCAAUGCCGCGUGCGGGAAGAAGGCCUUCGGGUUGUAAACCGCUUUUGGCAGGAACGAAACGGUGUCCGCUAAUACCGGGCGCUAAUGACGGUACCUGCAGAAUAAGCACCGGCUAACUACGUG
This 492-nucleotide ribosomal RNA is filed under the name uncultured bacterium. RNAcentral's name for it is "partial 16S ribosomal RNA". It matches the Rfam family "Bacterial small subunit ribosomal RNA", at positions 30 to 507 of the family's 1533-position model. The record is from RNAcentral.